Molecule: ribosomal RNA, 355 nt
Filed under: Triglyphus fulvicornis
Lineage: Eukaryota; Metazoa; Arthropoda; Insecta; Diptera; Syrphidae
Description: partial 12S ribosomal RNA
Source: RNAcentral
UAUUUUAGAGCUAAAAUCAAUUUAUUAAUCUCUAUAAAUUUACUAUCAAAUCCAAUUUCAUUAAAUUUUUCAUAUUUAAAUCCACAUAAAUAAAUUUUAUUGUAACUCAUUUAUACUUAAAAAUAAACUACACCUUGAUUUGAUAUUAAUUUUAUUAUAAAUUAUAGAAAAUUAUUUAUUCUUUUAAAAUAUUCUAAUAACAACGAUAUAUAAAUUGAAUUACAAUUUUAAGUAAGGUACAUCGGGGAUUAUCGAUUAAAAAACAAGUUCCUCUGAAUAGACUAAAAUACCGCCAAAUUUUUUAAGUUUCAAGAAUAUAACUAAUACUACUCAAAUAAAUUAAUUUAUACUUUAA